RNAcentral lists this long non-coding RNA (411 nucleotides) under Eucalyptus grandis. Its description in RNAcentral is "long non-coding RNA (EGRA_LNC001936)". Lineage: Eukaryota; Viridiplantae; Streptophyta; Magnoliopsida; Myrtales; Myrtaceae. The record is from RNAcentral.
GCAACCAAAGAAAUUAGGAUCGGGGACUUGAUUACACUAGUUAAUCACUAAUGCCAUUUUGGUACCUAAUCUUGUUUAAACCUUGAGGCUUUUUGGAUGUUCGAGGGAUUUUCCACGCAUUUUGGAUGUUCGAGAGGUUUUCCAUGCAUUUUUGGAGAAAAACAUUUUUUGGGUCUUUUUCUAUUUUUUGACAUGAAAGGGAUUUUUUUGACCUUUUUUGGUAGUUUUGGAAAAAUACAAGUCUUUUUGGCUUUUUCUGAAUUUUUUUUGGCUUUUUCAUGAAUUUUUGGCUUUUUUUGGAUUUUUGGCAUUUUUUGUAAAAUAUGAAAUAUUUUUGAUUUUUUUGAUUUUUCGGAAAAUAAAAUAUUUUUAUCACUAUUUUUCGAUUUUCUGGAAAUUAAAACAUUUUUU